AUUGAACGCUGGCGGCAGGCUUAACACAUGCAAGUCGAGCGGGGUGAUGGUGCUUGCACUAUCACUUAGCGGCGGACGGGUGAGUAAUGCUUAGGAAUCUGCCUAUUAGUGGGGGACAACAUCUCGAAAGGGAUGCUAAUACCGCAUACGUCCUACGGGAGAAAGCAGGGGAUCACUUGUGACCUUGCGCUAAUAGAUGAGCCUACGUCGGAUUAGCUAGUUGGUGGGGUAAAGGCCUACCAAGGCGACGAUCUGUAGCGGGUCUGAGAGGAUGAGCCACCACACUGGGACUGAGACACGGGCCAGACUCCUACGGGAGGCAGCAGUGGGGAAUAUUGGACAAUGGGGGGAACCCUGAUCCAGCCAUGCCGCGUGUGUGAAGAAGGCCUUAUGGUUGUAAAGCACUUUAAGCGAGGAGGAGGCUCUUUUGGUUAAUACCCAAGAUGAGUGGACGUUACUCGCAGAAUAAGCACCGGCUAACUCUGUGCCAGCCGCCGCUGUAA
This 503-nucleotide ribosomal RNA is filed under the name uncultured bacterium. RNAcentral describes it as "partial 16S ribosomal RNA". It matches the Rfam family "Bacterial small subunit ribosomal RNA", at positions 30 to 523 of the family's 1533-position model. The record is from RNAcentral.